This 74-nucleotide transfer RNA is filed under the name Nocardioides phosphati. RNAcentral's name for it is "tRNA-Gly". It matches the Rfam family "tRNA". From Rfam's summary of the family: Transfer RNA (tRNA) molecules are approximately 80 nucleotides in length. Their secondary structure includes four short double-helical elements and three loops (D, anti-codon, and T loops). The record is from RNAcentral. Lineage: Bacteria; Bacillati; Actinomycetota; Actinomycetes; Propionibacteriales; Nocardioidaceae.
GCGGACGUAGCUCAGUUGGUAGAGCACAACCUUGCCAAGGUUGGGGUCGCGAGUUCGAGUCUCGUCGUCCGCUC